UACGUAGGGUGCGAGCGUUAAUCGGAAUUACUGGGCGUAAAGGGUACGCAGGCGGCGUCGCAAGUCAGGCGUGAAAUCCCCGGGCUUAACCUGGGAAUGGCACUUGAAACUACGAUGCUGGAGUAUGGCAGAGGGAGGUGGAAUUCCACGUGUAGCGGUGAAAUGCGUAGAGAUGUGGAGGAACACCGAUGGCGAAGGCAGCCUCCUGGGCCAAUACUGACGCUCAUGCACGAAAGCGUGGGGAGCAAACAGG
This 253-nucleotide ribosomal RNA is filed under the name uncultured bacterium. Its description in RNAcentral is "partial 16S ribosomal RNA". It matches the Rfam family "Bacterial small subunit ribosomal RNA", at positions 524 to 776 of the family's 1533-position model. The record is from RNAcentral.